CCUACGGGAGGCAGCAUAAGGAAUAUUGGUCAAUGGGCGCAAGCCUGAACCAGCCAUGCCGCGUGAAGGAUGACGGCCCUAUGGGUUGUAAACUUCUUUUGUACGGGAAUAAACCCAGGUACGUGUACCUGGCUGAAUGUACCGUAAGAAUAAGGAUCGGCUAACUCCGUGCCAGCAGCCGCGGUAAUACGGAGGAUCCAAGCGUUAUCCGGAUUCAUUGGGUUUAAAGGGUGCGUAGGCGGACUUAUAAGUCAGUGGUGAAAUCCUGCAGCUUAACUGCAGAACUGCCAUUGAUACUGUAAGUCUUGAGUGUGUUUGAAGUGGGCGGAAUGUGUCAUGUAGCGGUGAAAUGCUUAGAUAUGACACAGAACACCGAUUGCGUAGGCAGCUCACUAAACCACAACUGACGCUGAGGCACGACAGCGUGGGGAUCAAACAGGAUUAGAUACCCUGGUAGUCCACGACCGUAAACUAAUGAUUACUCGAUGUUGGCGAUAUACAGUCGAGCGUCUAAGACUAAAGACGUUAAAGUAAAUAACCACCUGGGGAGGUUACGGUCGCGAAGAGUUAGAACGUUACAAAUUAGAAGUUAGACGG
Molecule: ribosomal RNA, 597 nt
Filed under: uncultured bacterium
Lineage: Bacteria
Description: bacterial SSU rRNA
Rfam family: Bacterial small subunit ribosomal RNA
Source: RNAcentral